This 38-nucleotide non-coding RNA is filed under the name uncultured Massilistercora sp. RNAcentral's name for it is "Selenocysteine insertion sequence 4". It matches the Rfam family "Selenocysteine insertion sequence 4". Lineage: Bacteria; Bacillati; Bacillota; Clostridia; Eubacteriales. The record is from RNAcentral.
GGGACCUGUACUCGUUGCGGUGCAAUGAUGGUGAAAGA